CUUCAGACAAUUUACCUGACCACUCCCCUCUCUCCAUGGGAGCCCAGUGUGCAGUGGCUGCAUGCAGCAGCUUCAUUAGUAGUGUACACAGACUGUUGCUUGCAUGGUUUGCCCUAAGGAACCUUGUGGGCAGCC
Molecule: small nucleolar RNA, 135 nt
Organism: Choloepus hoffmanni (Hoffmann's two-fingered sloth)
Lineage: Eukaryota; Metazoa; Chordata; Mammalia; Pilosa; Megalonychidae
Gene: SNORA70
Rfam family: Small nucleolar RNA SNORA70
About the family: snoRNA U70 seems to be exclusive to mammals and is a member of the H/ACA class of snoRNA which contain H (ANANNA) and ACA box motifs.
Source: Ensembl